RNA transcript from Homo sapiens (human), 1442 nucleotides. It is a transcript of the gene named neutrophil cytosolic factor 1C (pseudogene), with no coding region annotated. The transcript has 11 exons. NCBI's taxonomy places the organism in Eukaryota, Metazoa, Chordata, Mammalia, Primates, Hominidae. The record is from RefSeq and is marked reviewed.
AGUGCAUUUAAGGCGCAGCCUGGAAGUGCCAGGGAGCACUGGAGGCCACCCAGUCAUGGGGGACACCUUCAUCCGUCACAUCGCCCUGCUGGGCUUUGAGAAGCGCUUCGUACCCAGCCAGCACUAUGUACAUGUUCCUGGUGAAAUGGCAGGACCUGUCGGAGAAGGUGGUCUACCGGCGCUUCACCGAGAUCUACGAGUUCCAUAAAACCUUAAAAGAAAUGUUCCCUAUUGAGGCAGGGGCGAUCAAUCCAGAGAACAGGAUCAUCCCCCACCUCCCAGCUCCCAAGUGGUUUGACGGGCAGCGGGCCGCCGAGAACCACCAGGGCACACUUACCGAGUACUGCAGCACGCUCAUGAGCCUGCCCACCAAGAUCUCCCGCUGUCCCCACCUCCUCGACUUCUUCAAGGUGCGCCCUGAUGACCUCAAGCUCCCCACGGACAACCAGACAAAAAAGCCAGAGACAUACUUGAUGCCCAAAGAUGGCAAGAGUACCGCGACAGACAUCACCGGCCCCAUCAUCCUGCAGACGUACCGCGCCAUUGCCGACUACGAGAAGACCUCGGGCUCCGAGAUGGCUCUGUCCACGGGGGACGUGGUGGAGGUCGUGGAGAAGAGCGAGAGCGGUUGGUGGUUCUGUCAGAUGAAAGCAAAGCGAGGCUGGAUCCCAGCAUCCUUCCUCGAGCCCCUGGACAGUCCUGACGAGACGGAAGACCCUGAGCCCAACUAUGCAGGUGAGCCAUACGUCGCCAUCAAGGCCUACACUGCUGUGGAGGGGGACGAGGUGUCCCUGCUCGAGGGUGAAGCUGUUGAGGUCAUUCACAAGCUCCUGGACGGCUGGUGGGUCAUCAGGAAAGACGACGUCACAGGCUACUUUCCGUCCAUGUACCUGCAAAAGUCGGGGCAAGACGUGUCCCAGGCCCAACGCCAGAUCAAGCGGGGGGCGCCGCCCCGCAGGUCGUCCAUCCGCAACGCGCACAGCAUCCAUCAGCGGUCGCGGAAGCGCCUCAGCCAGGACGCCUAUCGCCGCAACAGCGUCCGUUUUCUGCAGCAGCGACGCCGCCAGGCGCGGCCGGGACCGCAGAGCCCCGGGAGCCCGCUCGAGGAGGAGCGGCAGACGCAGCGCUCUAAACCGCAGCCGGCGGUGCCCCCGCGGCCGAGCGCCGACCUCAUCCUGAACCGCUGCAGCGAGAGCACCAAGCGGAAGCUGGCGUCUGCCGUCUGAGGCUGGAGCGCAGUCCCCAGCUAGCGUCUCGGCCCUUGCCGCCCCGUGCCUGUACAUACGUGUUCUAUAGAGCCUGGCGUCUGGACGCCGAGGGCAGCCCCGACCCCUGUCCAGCGCGGCUCCCGCCACCCUCAAUAAAUGUUGCUUGGAGUGGACCGAGGCUCUGCAGGAAUGCAGGGAGGGCCGGGCUCCGCCCCAGGGUUAUUUCUAAGUUGA